AACGAACGCUGGCGGCAGGCCUAACACAUGCAAGUCGAACGCCCGUAGCAAUACGGGAGUGGCAGACGGUGAGUAACGCGUGGGAACCUUCCCUAUGGUUCGGAAUAGCUCAGGGGAAACUUGAGGUAAUACCGGAUAAGCCCUUCGGGGAAAGAUUUAUCGCCAUUGGAUGGGCCGCGUAGGAUUAGCUAGUUGGUGAGGUAACGGCUCACCAAGGCGACGAUCCUUAGCUGGUCUGAGAGGAUGAUC
RNAcentral lists this ribosomal RNA (249 nucleotides) under uncultured bacterium. Its description in RNAcentral is "partial 16S ribosomal RNA". It matches the Rfam family "Bacterial small subunit ribosomal RNA", at positions 29 to 305 of the family's 1533-position model. The record is from RNAcentral.